This 253-nucleotide ribosomal RNA is filed under the name uncultured bacterium. RNAcentral's name for it is "partial 16S ribosomal RNA". It matches the Rfam family "Bacterial small subunit ribosomal RNA", at positions 524 to 776 of the family's 1533-position model. The record is from RNAcentral.
UACGGAGGGUGCAAGCGUUGUCCGGAAUCAUUGGGCGUAAAGCGCGCGUAGGUGGCCCAGUAAGUCCGUUCUGAAAGUCACAGGCUCAACCUGUGAAAGCGGAUGGAUACUGCUGGGCUAGAGUCCGGAAGAGGCGAGUGGAAUUCCUGGUGUAGCGGUGGAAUGCGCAGAUAUCAGGAGGAACACCAACGGCGAAGGCAGCUCGCUGGGACGGUACUGACACUAAGGCGCGAAAGCGUGGGGAGCGAACAGG